RNAcentral lists this ribosomal RNA (292 nucleotides) under uncultured bacterium. RNAcentral describes it as "partial 16S ribosomal RNA". It matches the Rfam family "Bacterial small subunit ribosomal RNA", at positions 505 to 796 of the family's 1533-position model. The record is from RNAcentral.
GUGUCAGCCGCCGCGGUAAUACAGAGGUCCCAAGCGUUGUUCGGAUUCACUGGGCGUAAAGGGUGCGUAGGUGGCCAGGUAAGUUCGGUGUGAAAGCUCGGAGCUUAACUCCGAAAUGUCAUUGAAUACUAUCUGGCUAGAGGGUCGGAGGGGAGACUGGAAUUCUCGGUGUAGCAGUGAAAUGCGUAGAUAUCGAGAGGAACACCAGUGGCGAAGGCGAGUCUCUGGACGACUCCUGACACUGAGGCACGAAAGCUAGGGGAGCAAACAGGAUUAGAUACCCUAGUAGUCC